UUAUUUUCUUUUAAUAUAAGUAUCAUAUUGUAUAUAGGAAAAAUUGUAUAAAAAUGAGAGGAAUUCUUUCAAACGAAGAAUAUUUUUUUUACCAGUAUAAAUUAUAAAUACGGGGUUUAUCAAGACGUCUUGUAAUUUUUGUGCCAGUAUAAUAAAAGUAAAUUAUUGUCGGACUCGGACAUACAAUAAUUACAAUUCUUGUAAUAUCUGGUAUUAGUAGUGAAAGUCUUUUUCAGUCAGUCAAGUUUUUCUCAAAUUAAGGCUCCAAAAAAGGAUACAAAGAAAUUAUCAAAUAUAAAUGACUAUAAAAGAAGGAAUUUAGGAAUUAGUGAAGAAUGUGGAAUUUGAUGAAGGCAAAAGUAUGACAUCUUGUGUCAUGUCGACAUUAUAUAUAUAAAUGUAUCAUUUAGAGUCUGACUAAUGGAAGAUUGUGCAAGUAAUUGAAGAAAAAUGAUAAAAAGCGAAAAUUCAUUGGAUUUUUUAGAGAAAUUUCAUCAAAGCAUAUAUGAAAUACAUCGUACUUGUGUGUGUGUGUGUGAUUCAGAGGAAAUUUUACCAAACCCAUCACGAACCUGACCUACAUAUUCGUGUUGCACGUGUGACAGUCGAACGUGUCUUCCAACUUCUAUGCCGACACUCGCCAAGGUGUGGACGUGCUUGUCUGCGUUCACGGGAGUUCACAGUACCUAAGCCAUAAUAAGCAUCUUGGCAUCAAAUCAACCUCCACCAGUUUACACUUUCCAAGUGAUAGUCGAACGAUCAAUGAUAUUCGAUAUAUAAGAAGGAUCAUAAGUGAAAGGACGCGUCUCUUGGGACGCACAGAAAAAUAAUUAGCAUACAAGUGACGGACCUAUAUGGACAAAUGAUGUUAAUCUCUGAAUUUCUGAAGAACAAAUUCAUCUUCUAAUGGUGGAAGUUAGAUGUGGUGAAAAGGAUGUUAUAUACCAACGCUGAAACUAUCGAACAUGUCCCA
Molecule: long non-coding RNA, 973 nt
Organism: Leptopilina boulardi
Lineage: Eukaryota; Metazoa; Arthropoda; Insecta; Hymenoptera; Figitidae
Exons: 5
Source: RefSeq, a predicted model, not a curated record